RNAcentral lists this ribosomal RNA (253 nucleotides) under uncultured bacterium. Its description in RNAcentral is "partial 16S ribosomal RNA". It matches the Rfam family "Bacterial small subunit ribosomal RNA", at positions 524 to 776 of the family's 1533-position model. The record is from RNAcentral.
UACGGAGGGUGCGAGCGUUGUCCGGAAUCACUGGGCGUAAAGGGCGCGUAGGCGGCGCGGAUAGGCGGCGGUGAAAGCCCGGAGCUCAACUCCGGGUCGGCCGUCGAUACUUCCGGGCUUGAGCACUGUAGAGGCAGAUGGAAUUCCGGGUGUAGCGGUGGAAUGCGUAGAGAUCCGGAAGAACACCGGUGGCGAAGGCGGUCUGCUGGGCAGUUGCUGACGCUGAUGCGCGACAGCGUGGGGAGCAAACAGG